CACAGUGGGGAAUAUUGGACAAUGGGGGCAACCCUGAUCCAGCCAUGCCGCGUGUGUGAAGAAGGCCUUUUGGUUGUAAAGCACUUUAAGCWGUGAAGAAGACUCUUCGGUUAAUMCCCGGAGACGAUGACAUUASCUGCASAAUAAGCACCGGCUAACUYUGUGCCAGCAGCCGCGGUAAUWCAGAGGGUGCAAGCGUUAAUYGGAAUUACUGGGCGUAAAGCGAGCGUARGUGGCUUGAUAAGUCAGAUGUGAAAUCCCCGGGCUUAACCUGGGAACUGCAUCUGAAACUGUUMGGCUAGAGUAKGUGAGAGGGAAGUAGAAUUUCAKGUGUAGCGGUGAAAUGYGUAGAGAUYUGAAGGAAUMCCGAUGGCGAAGGCARCUUCCUGGCAUCAUACUGACACUGAGGCUCGAAAGCGUGGGUAGCAAACAGGAUUAGAUACCCUGGUAGUCCACSCCGUAAACGAUGUCUACUMGUCGUUGGGUCCCUUGAGGACUUASUGACGCAGCUAACGCAAUAAGUARACCGCCUGGGGAGUACGGCCGCAAGGUUAAAACUC
RNAcentral lists this ribosomal RNA (560 nucleotides) under uncultured Gammaproteobacteria bacterium. Its description in RNAcentral is "partial 16S ribosomal RNA". It matches the Rfam family "Bacterial small subunit ribosomal RNA", at positions 350 to 902 of the family's 1533-position model. Lineage: Bacteria; Pseudomonadati; Pseudomonadota; Gammaproteobacteria. The record is from RNAcentral.